This 555-nucleotide long non-coding RNA is filed under the name Phoenix dactylifera (date palm). RNAcentral describes it as "long non-coding RNA (PDAC_LNC021260)". The record is from RNAcentral. Lineage: Eukaryota; Viridiplantae; Streptophyta; Magnoliopsida; Arecales; Arecaceae.
CAAUCUCGUAGCAGAGCAAGCUACGAUGAAUGUAGAGAAUAGGGUAACUUGACACAUGCCACAUACAAAGCCAGCCGAUGCCCAAUAAUAGCAGCCAUUGCGAAGUUAGGAAUCCAACAACUCCGAUCAUCAAUGUAGGACCCCUAUCAUCCAAAUCAGAAAAAGAUGUAAUUGUACAAGAGUUACACCAGGUGUAACUUGAACCUAGCCAUAUAUAAAAACUAGAAACAGAAUUCUCAUCUUUUUGUCCCUUCAAAAAAAAUGAAGAUCUUUUUUGUAUGUAGAAAAGUUUUCCACCAAAAAGAAUGUAAAAGCACUACAAAAGCUAUCGUAAGAAGGAUAUGUAUCAGAUUUUGUUUGUUCGUACAUGCCUACAUGCAUAGGCACCGACACUUCUAGCACAUGCAUAUAAAUGCGAGAAUGCACAUGCAUAAGCGUGCGCAUGCACACAUGCACCUAGACACAUAGAAGCAUCAGUGACUUCUUUUAAAUAGAUUAAAAGUCUGACCAUUCUUUCUUCUUUUUCUAGUUGAGGAGUCAAAUUUAACCCCACCU